CAGUAGCCGCGGGAAUACGUAGGGCGCAAGCGUUGUCCGGAAUUAUUGGGCGUAAAGAGCUCGUAGGCGGUCUGUCGCGUCUGGUGUGAAAUCCCGAGGCUCAACCUCGGGCUUGCAUCGGGUACGGGCAGACUAGAGUGCGGUAGGGGAGACUGGAAUUCCUGGUGUAGCGGUGGAAUGCGCAGAUAUCAGGAGGAACACCGAUGGCGAAGGCAGGUCUCUGGGCCGCAACUGACGCUGAGGAGCGAAAGCAUGGGGAGCGAACAGGAUUAGAUACCCCAGUAGUCCCUGUCUCUUAUCA
RNAcentral lists this ribosomal RNA (301 nucleotides) under uncultured bacterium. Its description in RNAcentral is "partial 16S ribosomal RNA". It matches the Rfam family "Bacterial small subunit ribosomal RNA", at positions 509 to 809 of the family's 1533-position model. The record is from RNAcentral.